Molecule: long non-coding RNA, 408 nt
Filed under: Brassica napus (rape)
Lineage: Eukaryota; Viridiplantae; Streptophyta; Magnoliopsida; Brassicales; Brassicaceae
Description: long non-coding RNA (BNAP_LNC018099)
Source: RNAcentral
UUUCCCGUAAAAUCGCACUUUACCGCCAAUACGCAUUUCCCCACCAAAACUGCAAAAAGAAGCAUUUUAACGCCAAAAUCGUAAAAAUGCAUUUCCUUUCCAAAACCCCAAAAUGCAUUUUCUCAGAAAAACCACAAAAACGAUUUUCCCGCCAAAAUCAUAAGCACACUCUUUUCUACCAAAAUCAUAAAAAUGCAUUUCCCGCCAAAACCGAAAAAAAUCUACUUCCCCGUAAUAUUGCAUUUUCCCAACAAAACUGCAAAAAGGAAUUUUUCCGCCAAAACCGCAAAAACAAAAUUUUCCACCAAAACUACAAAAACGCAUUUUCCUGCCAAAACCGCAAAAAACGCAUUUUUCUAUCUAAACCACAAAACGAAUUUUUUCCACAAAAAAAAACACAAAACAAAU